This is a long non-coding RNA of Oryzias latipes (Japanese medaka), 1368 nucleotides long. RefSeq lists it as uncharacterized. Lineage: Eukaryota; Metazoa; Chordata; Actinopteri; Beloniformes; Adrianichthyidae. The record is from RefSeq and is a predicted model, not a curated record.
GAGAUAUGAGGAAAAUGAGAAAACCAAAAAGGACCUCCAGAGUGCAGUUGCUGUUACUUUAACAGCUGAUAUGUGGACGUCUAUGAAUAUGGAGGCAUAUCUAGCCGUUACUGGCCACUAUGUGGACAAAGAAAGCCAUGAACUCCAUUCAUCAGUCUUGGCAGUGCAGCAUUUUCCUCAGAAACGCACCGCAGAAAACAUUGACACGGUUAAAAGGAGCCUCAUGGAGGAGUUGGGCAUAGCAGGAAAGGUCAGGUGUCUUGUCACUGAUGCAACAGCAAACAUGACUGCAUGUGCUCGAAUGCUGCAAAUACGCAUACCAUUUUUUAUAGCCCAUUCCCUGAAUUUAAUUGUGAGAAAAUCAUGUGAUCAAAUCCCAACAAUAACUGUAUUACGCAACAAAACACGACACAUUGUGACAUACUUUCGAUCAAGCGUGACCGCUAAAGAGAAGCUCACUCAAAUACAGCAACAGCUGGGAACACCGGGCCAUAAAUUAAUAAACGAAGUGCCAACACGAUGGAACAGUACCUACCAAAUGUUUGAAAGAAUGACUGAGCAGAAGGAGGCAGUCUGGGUGUCACUGGCCUCAUUAAAACCUGACAUCACUCCACUGACUCCAGAAGAAUGUCAGAUCAUUGAAGAGAUGCUCAGGGUUCUUGCUCCUUUUCACCAAGCUACAAGAGAACUGUCUGAGGAAAAAAGGGUCUCUGGGUCGAAGGUCAUUCCCAUGAUGAGAAUCCUCUACAUUGAGCCUCAACGUCAGGCUACAACAGUGACAAAAACAGCUGCUCAACAACUGGCUGAAAACCUGAGGUACUGACGCUAUUUGCUGCAUGGAAUCUCUCAGUGUGAUGACUCUGGCAACUCUGUUAGAUCCCACAGUUAAAAAGAAUGGAUUUGUUAGCCAGCAAAAGGCAAGUGAAGCAGUGAAGAGACUGCAGUCAGAAUGUGCAGAAGAAAUGAGGAGCCAAGAGUCUGACCCAAGAGAAGAAGAGCCUAGCUCUUCACAUGGGUCAGAAAACCCAGUUCAGGGCACAAUCUCUGGAGAACUUUAGAUAUGGAGGUUGCAGAGACCCAGAAGACGAGGAACGCAACAGCUAACUCCAUUAUUGAAGUCCAACGCUACCUGGCAGAAACAAACACACCCAGAAAACAAGAUCCUUUGCAAUAUUGGAAACUGAACCAGGAAAUAUACCCACAUCUUCAUAAACUUGCACUUAAAACUCUCUGCUCACCAUCAUCGUCUGUACCAUGCGAAAGAGUAUUUUCCAAGGCUGGGGAGCUGGUGUGUAAGAGGAGAAAUCGCCUUGGAGCAAAGACACUCCAAAAACUUUUGUUUCUCAAUAAAAAUUCAUGAACUAAUCA